GAUGAACGCUAGCGGCAGGCCUAAUACAUGCAAGUCGAACGGGAUCUGAGGGUAGCUUGCUACCCGAUUUGAGAGUGGCGCACGGGUGCGUAACGCGUGAGCAACCUACCCAUAUCAGGGGGAUAGCCCGGAGAAAUUCGGAUUAACACCGCAUAAGCAUGCAUUAACACAUGUUAAAGCAUUUAAAUAUUUAUAGGAUAUGGAUGGGCUCGCGUGACAUUAGCUAGUUGGUGAGGUAACGGCUAACCAAGGCGACGAUGUCUAGGGGCUCUGAGAGGAGAAUCCCCCACACUGGUACUGAGACACGGACCAGACUCCUACGGGAGGCAGCAGUAAGGAAUAUUGGUCAAUGGGCGGAAGCCUGAACCAGCCAUGCCGCGUGCAGGAUGACUGCCCUAUGGGUUGUAAACUGCUUUUGUCGAGGAAUAAACCUAUCUACGUGUAGCUAGUUGAACGUACUCGAAGAAUAAGGAUCGGCUAACUGCGUGCCAGCCGCCGCCGUAA
This 504-nucleotide ribosomal RNA is filed under the name uncultured bacterium. Its description in RNAcentral is "partial 16S ribosomal RNA". It matches the Rfam family "Bacterial small subunit ribosomal RNA", at positions 28 to 523 of the family's 1533-position model. The record is from RNAcentral.